Ribosomal RNA from Oreochromis aureus, 119 nucleotides. NCBI's taxonomy places the organism in Eukaryota, Metazoa, Chordata, Actinopteri, Cichliformes, Cichlidae. The record is from Ensembl.
GCUUACGGCCAUAUCACCCUGAGCGCGCCUGAUCUCGUCUGCUCUCGGAAGUUAAGCAGGGUUGGGCUUGGUUAGUACUUGAAUAGGAGACCGCCUGGGAAUACCAGGUGCUGUAAGCU